This 670-nucleotide ribosomal RNA is filed under the name uncultured bacterium. RNAcentral's name for it is "bacterial SSU rRNA". It matches the Rfam family "Bacterial small subunit ribosomal RNA", at positions 9 to 694 of the family's 1533-position model. The record is from RNAcentral.
GAGUUUGAUCCUGGCUCAGGAUGAACGCUGGCGGCGUGCUUAACACAUGCAAGUCGAGCGAUGAAGUUUCCUUCGGGAAAUGGAUUAGCGGCGGACGGGUGAGUAACACGUGGGUAACCUGCCUCAUAGAGUGGAAUAGCCUUCCGAAAGGGAGAUUAAUACCGCAUAACGUUGAAAGAUGGCAUCAUCAUUCAACCAAAGGAGCAAUCCGCUAUGAGAUGGACCCGCGGCGCAUUAGCUAGUUGGUGGGGUAACGGCCUACCAAGGCGACGAUGCGUAGCCGACCUGAGAGGGUGAUCGGCCACAUUGGGACUGAGACACGGCCCAGACUCCUACGGGAGGCAGCAGUGGGGAAUAUUGCACAAUGGGGGAAACCCUGAUUCAGCAACGCCGCGUGAGUGAUGAAGGUUUUCGGAUCGUAAAGCUCUGUCUUUGGGGAAGAUAAUGACGGUACCCAAGGAGGAAGCCACGGCUAACUACGUGCCAGCAGCCGCGGUAAUACGUAGGUGGCGAGCGUUAUCCGGAUUUACUGGGCGUAAAGGGAGCGUAGGCGGAUGAUUAAGUGGGAUGUGAAAUACCCGGGCUCAACUUGGGUGCUGCAUUCCAAACUGGUUAUCUAGAGUGCAGGAGAGGAGAGUGGAAUUCCUAGUGUAGCGGUGAAAUGCGUAGA